This 253-nucleotide ribosomal RNA is filed under the name uncultured bacterium. Its description in RNAcentral is "partial 16S ribosomal RNA". It matches the Rfam family "Bacterial small subunit ribosomal RNA", at positions 524 to 776 of the family's 1533-position model. The record is from RNAcentral.
UACGUAGGGUGCAAGCGUUAAUCGGAAUUACUGGGCGUAAAGCGUGCGCAGGCGGUUGUGCAAGACCGAUGUGAAAUCCCCGGGCUUAACCUGGGAAUGGCAUUGGUGACUGCACGGCUAGAGUGUGUCAGAGGGGGGUGGAAUUCCGCGUGUAGCAGUGAAAUGCGUAGAGAUGCGGAGGAACACCGAUGGCGAAGGCAGCCCCCUGGGCCGACACUGACGCUCAGGCACGAAAGCGUGGGGAGCAAACAGG